Molecule: long non-coding RNA, 1397 nt
Organism: Caretta caretta (loggerhead turtle)
Lineage: Eukaryota; Metazoa; Chordata; Testudines; Cheloniidae
Source: RefSeq, a predicted model, not a curated record
GGUCUGGCCUCACCCCCUCUCGUAACCCCUCGAUGGUAUCGUCCGUAUACAAAACCGGAAAUGGCCCCCGGGCGGCGCCAUGUUGGGAAGGGCGAAGCAGAAAGGAAGCGAAACUGAGCGCCGCCAUUUUGGAAGAGGCUGGUCAGGCGGAAGUGACUCCUGGAAGCCGCCAUGUUUGACUCACAGGAAGCGACCCGAUUGUGGGCACCGCCAUCUUGGCACCCCUCACCGGAAGUUCGCAACUGGGCAUCGCCAUAUUGAAAGUGGUCUUUACGGCACUGUGGGCUGGGCGCCGCCAUGUUGGGAAGACGGCGCUGGACGGUGAGCGGGACCCUGUGUUCGGCUAUCGCUUCAGUGCGCCGUGAGCACGGGCUAUCUCGGCGUUCAUCUCUCUCUGCAGCGUCCCGCCCGUGGCCUUCUGCUCAUUCCCAUCGCGAAGGACCGGGGAGGGACCCGCCGCAAAGCCGCCCCCGGGCAACUCCCAGCGGGUCGCGGAGGACACGAAAUUGUAGAAAAGAUCCUGGGGUCCUGAUCCUGUCAUCUCACACCUGCUUAGGCUUCAUCGGGGGACGUCCGACUGGCACGACGGAGGUCCCCGUUACGCCCUGAACAGGGGCCUUGGACAUUGGCCUGGGAACUAUUUCUGAAAGAACUCGGCGCAAAGCUCACCGCCUCCCCGUGGCCCUGCACCGCCCUGAAGGCAGCUCACGGCUCUUUGCUGCUCUGUUAACCCUGCUCGCUUUUCUUCUUCAAUAAAGCUUAGUUCGUUUCGUAAGAAUUGGCUGUCGCGAGGACUUGGGUGAGGUCCGGACUAUUCAUUCACCUGGGAGGUGAGAGCGCAGCAGCCGUGUGAGUCCAAAUCCGCAAAAAGAACAAGGGGGGCGCGUGGCAGGGGGGGACCAACACAUUGAUUAGAGCGUGAGCUCUCCCGAGCCACAGCCCGCUUCCCCGGAGAGCUUGUUGGGGACCCUGGGGCAUGGCCACUAGGUAGCUCGAGGGGAUGGAAAACCACGAGUGUCGAUGAAGCCCCCUCGCACUAGGCCCAAGUGUCCUUGGCCCCCGCUCCCGCCUGGAGGCACUCGCAGCAGUUAUGCUGAGGAUCUGCAACAAUGUGCUGCGGAGUCAGACUGCCUGAAACUAAGGGAGGCCGAACAGGGCAGAUAUAAAAAAACAAUGCUAAAUAAAGCAGCUUUAUGUAUAGUUUAACAAAUGAUACAGAGAACAAGGGAACUGGAUUGCCUGGCUAGAUGGAUACUUAGGGCAGCUUGCUAUUGGAUAAGUAUGCUGAAGAAAGGAUGUAUAAAAGCCUGUGUAACUUCCUGCUCUGGGUGCAGGAUUUGAGAUUUUAUUCUCCCUGGACCUUUUUGCAGCUUAAAAUAAACUUUUCUGCGUCUCCA